GUCCUGGUAGCUCAAUCGGAAGAGCAACGGCCUUCUAAGCCGUAGGUUGGGGGUUCGAUCCCCUCCCAGGACACCA
This 76-nucleotide transfer RNA is filed under the name Bacillota bacterium. RNAcentral describes it as "tRNA-Arg". It matches the Rfam family "tRNA". Rfam says of the family: Transfer RNA (tRNA) molecules are approximately 80 nucleotides in length. Their secondary structure includes four short double-helical elements and three loops (D, anti-codon, and T loops). Further hydrogen bonds mediate the characteristic L-shaped molecular structure. tRNAs have two regions of fundamental functional importance: the anti-codon, which is responsible for specific mRNA codon recognition, and the 3' end, to which the tRNAs corresponding amino acid is attached (by aminoacyl-tRNA synthetases). tRNAs cope with the degeneracy of the genetic code in two manners: having more than one tRNA (with a specific anti-codon) for a particular amino acid; and 'wobble' base-pairing, i.e. permitting non-standard base-pairing at the 3rd anti-codon position. Lineage: Bacteria; Bacillati; Bacillota. The record is from RNAcentral.